GAUGAACGCUGGCGGCGUGCUUAACACAUGCAAGUCGAACGGGAAACCUUUUAUUGAAGCUUCGGCAGAUUUAGCUGGUUUCUAGUGGCGGACGGGUGAGUAACGCGUGGGUAACCUGCCUUAUACAGGGGGAUAACAACCAGAAAUGGUUGCUAAUACCGCAUAAGCGCACAGGACCGCAUGGUCCGGUGUGAAAAACUCCGGUGGUAUAAGAUGGACCCGCGUUGGAUUAGCUAGUUGGCAGGGUAACGGCCUACCAAGGCGACGAUCCAUAGCCGGCCUGAGAGGGUGAACGGCCACAUUGGGACUGAGACACGGCCCAGACUCCUACGGGAGGCAGCAGUGGGGAAUAUUGCACAAUGGGGGAAACCCUGAUGCAGCGACGCCGCGUGAAGGAAGAAGUAUCUCGGUAUGUAAACUUCUAUCAGCAGGGAAGAUAG
RNAcentral lists this ribosomal RNA (440 nucleotides) under uncultured bacterium. Its description in RNAcentral is "bacterial SSU rRNA". It matches the Rfam family "Bacterial small subunit ribosomal RNA", at positions 28 to 451 of the family's 1533-position model. The record is from RNAcentral.